ACUGUCUGUCAUACAAUAACAAAGAGAUACAACUCUUA
This 38-nucleotide ribosomal RNA is filed under the name Porphyra sp. stamfordensis. RNAcentral describes it as "partial 5.8S ribosomal RNA". Lineage: Eukaryota; Rhodophyta; Bangiophyceae; Bangiales; Bangiaceae. The record is from RNAcentral.